This 480-nucleotide ribosomal RNA is filed under the name uncultured bacterium. RNAcentral describes it as "bacterial SSU rRNA". It matches the Rfam family "Bacterial small subunit ribosomal RNA", at positions 28 to 478 of the family's 1533-position model. The record is from RNAcentral.
GACGAACGCUGGCGGCGUGCUUAACACAUGCAAGUCGAACGAGAAGAGAUGAGAAGCUUGCUUCUUAUCGAUUCGAGUGGCAAACGGGUGAGUAACGCGUAAGCAACCUGCCCUCUAGAUGGGGACAACAGCUGGAAACGGCUGCUAAUACCGAAUACGUUCUUUCUGUCGCAUGGCAGAAGGAAGAAAGGGAGGCUCUUCGGAGCUUUCGCUGGAGGAGGGGCUUGCGUCUGAUUAGCUAGUUGGAGGGGUAACGGCCCACCAAGGCGACGAUCAGUAGCCGGUCUGGGAGGAUGAACGGCCACAUUGGGACUGAGACACGGCCCAGACUCCUACGGGAGGCAGCAGUGGGGAAUCUUCCGCAAUGGACGAAAGUCUGACGGAGCAACGCCGCGUGAACGAUGACGGCCUUCGGGUUGUAAAGUUCUGUUAUACGGGACGAAUGGUACGACGGCCAAUACCCGUCGUAAGUGACGGUAC